CAGCCGCCACGGUAAUACGUAGGGUGCGAGCGUUAAUCGGAAUUACUGGGCGUAAAGCGUGCGCAGGCGGUUCGUUAAGACAGAUGUGAAAUCCCCGGGCUUAACCUGGGAACUGCAUUUGUGACUGACGGGCUAGAGUAUGGCAGAGGGGGGUAGAAUUCCACGUGUAGCAGUGAAAUGCGUAGAGAUGUGGAGGAAUACCGAUGGCGAAGGCAGCCCCCUGGGCCAAUACUGACGCUCAUGCACGAAAGCGUGGGGAGCAAACAGGAUUAGAUACCCCCGUAGUCCCUGUCUCUUAUAA
RNAcentral lists this ribosomal RNA (301 nucleotides) under uncultured bacterium. RNAcentral's name for it is "partial 16S ribosomal RNA". It matches the Rfam family "Bacterial small subunit ribosomal RNA", at positions 509 to 809 of the family's 1533-position model. The record is from RNAcentral.